UACAGAGGGUGCGAGCGUUGUCCGGAAUUACUGGGCGUAAAGGGCGCGCAGGCGGCCUGAUAAGUAUGGGGUGAAAUCUCAAGGCUCAGCCUUGAGGCUGCCUUGUAGACUGUCAGGCUUGAGCACGGUAGAGGCAGAUGGAAUUCCCGGUGUAGCGGUGGAAUGCGUAGAGAUCGGGAAGAACACCAGUGGCGAAGGCGGUCUGCUGGGCCGACACUGACACUGAGAGACGAAAGCUAGGGGAGCGAACAGG
Molecule: ribosomal RNA, 253 nt
Filed under: uncultured bacterium
Lineage: Bacteria
Description: partial 16S ribosomal RNA
Rfam family: Bacterial small subunit ribosomal RNA
Source: RNAcentral